CAGSAUAUACGAACAACAACGGCGGUAAUCUCCUCUACCUCACCUCAGAUUCUUUCACAUCUCUCUCCUUCCCCUUCCCCUUUCUCUCCUCCUCUUUCUUCUUCCCGCUUUCCUCUAUUUUCCGUUCCUCUUGGCCAUAGCCGAUACAACUCGUUGCAGCGGCUAAUUCCGUUCCUUCUUCUCCACCGAUAUUCGGUUCUCGACUUCUCUCCAAAAUCAAAAUAUUGCCCGAAAAGCCCCCCCUUCCCCUCCAACGGCUACUUAGAAAACUGGGUAUUUAAACCAGUGCGAGUGAGUGAAUGAAAGAACAAGCACAUCUCUUCUUUAACUCAGAUCUCAUUAUCCCUUUCCGACACUCUCCACUUGCACAACUUCCGAGCAAAGGUCCGAGAAGAUGGAAUAGCAACCCCUAUCAGUGGUCCGCCACAACAACGAAGACGAUGACGAAUUCUAUGAGAACAUCAAAGCCCCAAGUUUGUGGAUUUCAGUACACCUGAUCUAUCACGCCCGGACGAUCGUUUCUCGUUUUGUUUGCAUGUUGACUCCGUUUGUACUCCUUGGUCCUGGUUUUGAUUACUUUCAGAACUGACAAACUUAUGAUGCGAUCAAAACCAUGAGGAAGACCUGGAUCCCAAUACCCUUUACAGAAAUUUUGUGCUUCGGGUCAUGGCAGCAAGAAGCCCCAACUUGAAACUGCAAAAGGCAUUAAGUAGACAAGUUCCACGUGCAAAUGCGAAAUGCCCGCUUUCAGCACCAGCAAAAUCUUCCAAGAGUAGAAUAUCAAGAUUGGCCUCUGCAACGAGUUGUAGAAAGUGAUGACAAAGAAAAUGAUUUAUCUGCUGAUAAUAACAGGUUUAGCUGCUGCAACGACUUGUGCGGCUAUGGCCGAGAGGAAUGGAAAAUAGAGGAAAGCGGGAAAGAAGAAAGAGGAGGAGAGAAAGGGGAAGGGGAAGAAGAGAGAUCGGGGGGAGAGAGAGAAGUGUGAAUAAAUCUGAGUUAGAGGGGAUUACUGCYAUUCGUAUAUCUAAGGUUGGGGAAGAUGAACAGUAUUUUUCAGGGUAGUAUGGGGAUUAAAAAAUAUUGCAUCCGCCUUUUCAGACCGAAGGCUAACGGAAAUGGUCUUUGUCGCAAAUCAAAGUAUAGCGAGGUCUUUGUCACAGACCCCAUAGUAUAGGGGGAAUCUUGGUAAUUCAUAAAAAAUUUAUGCUAUUGCUGCCCGAGCAUCGAAUUCAGCAAAAAAUUUAUACCCUAAUUUGUGUUUGAGUGUUUAUUUGACAUGUAAAAAAGUAAUCAAGAAAUAAAAAAUGUAUUUUUUGA
Molecule: long non-coding RNA, 1317 nt
Organism: Nelumbo nucifera (sacred lotus)
Lineage: Eukaryota; Viridiplantae; Streptophyta; Magnoliopsida; Proteales; Nelumbonaceae
Source: RefSeq, a predicted model, not a curated record